This is a long non-coding RNA of Peromyscus eremicus (cactus mouse), 1454 nucleotides long. RefSeq lists it as uncharacterized. Lineage: Eukaryota; Metazoa; Chordata; Mammalia; Rodentia; Cricetidae. The record is from RefSeq and is a predicted model, not a curated record. The transcript has 5 exons.
UGGAGCUGGCUGGUGCCCAGAGCUGAGAAGGACACUUCCUUGGAUACUCAAACAAGUAGACGGAAGUUGCAGUCCCAACUCAUUUGGACAUAGCAGAGGUGGACCAGGGGCCAUCUCCAGCGGGGGUGGGACAAGCCAGCUGCCUGGAGGAGGGAGCAGAAGAGUCAGUUCUCCACUGAUGACUUCAUUGACAGCCGAAGGGUGAAGUGGGGCGACAGGCAGACCAACUCUCACCCUUUGCCCCCGCUCGGCCCUUCCGUCAGGCACUCCACAGCUGCCUCUGGAGCAGAUGUACAGCUCAUUAGUCAGUCGGCCGCUAGAGCCAAGUCCAGGUUCCCAGCCCCCAUUCCUGGGCCUGGGAGGAGGGAAGGAAGCUGGCCAAAGGGCCUUUGUUCUUCCACAGUAGAGCACUUUGCACGUCAGCCACAAGGGGGCGAAAGCUGCACACGCAUCGUCGGUUUGCAGACCCUGAGCAAGCCUACACUGGCGAGAGCUGGCAAAUUGGGAGGAGGACCAUGAAGAAGAGAUGGCAAAACCUCCUUUGACCUCCAGAGUGUUUCAAGCCUUUAAUGUGGCACGUAAGAAUAGCUCGUUUGAUGCAAGAAUGUUUAGGAGGACAGGAGAACUGGAAUUCAGAUGCUUGGUUAGAUGGUCUCAGCCUUAGGGCCUUCAUGUGGGAAGUAGGAUGAUAUUACUUGCCUCAGAACCCCACCCAGUGACCUUGAGGCUAAAGUGAGACAGAGGACAUGAGGAGCACCUAAGCUUCGUGACAACUGAGGACAAGGGGUUCUGAUCAUCUCUACUUCUCCACAGGGGACAUUGAAUCCCCUGAGCUGCCGUUACGGUCACGUGUGAAUCACCCAGUGUAGGUGUGGAGCACGAACUUGGGUUCUUUGAAGAAUAGCCAAGCCAUCUCUCCAGGCCCCUACUUGGCUUCGCAAAGCUCAUGGAGGGGGCCCCCUCAGUCUUCCUUCACCACUAAAAUGAAGAACCAGUGGCCAGGGGACACUGGAGGACACACUGGCACUCUAAGCCCUACAAGUCUGAGUCUGAGGGUCGGGCACCUAACAAGAGCCAGCUGCCCUCUGUCCUGAGAUGCCCUGACCUGUCUUUCAUCCUCUGGAAGCCGGGAUCCUUGCACCUUCCACAUCCUGUCUCAGUCUGGCUGCAGACUGCUCACUCUGUGAGCUUCUGCCUUGGGGCAGGCCUCACAGAUAAGGGCAAUUCAACGGAGACACUUGUGUCCUGAGCUUGCAGAGCAAUGUAAGAGAGCUGACACGAUCUUUCAAGAUUUGAAUGCAACUGUUAGAGUGCAUUGUCGCAUACUAAAGGAAAGUACAAUUCAGAGAAUGAGGACAGAAAAAUAAAGCCAUGCUCACCAUGAAGUGACUGUCCCAUUGCUGUAGGUCAUUUUGGAGUGUUUUCUAUGAAAAUAAAAAUGAUGGUAGCUGUUA